AUUCAUCUCCUGAGGAAGAAUGUUUGAUCAGUGGGGAGGAUGGAACCUCUGGGGCUGACAGCAGGCACCUUUGGGAGGCGGGUGUGAUUGGCACCUUUGAAGCCUCCUUGGGAUCCCGAGUCCAGUGGGUCAGGAGCUUCCUCUGUCUGUGGGUGGUGGUAGUAAUAAUGUCGCAGCUCAGAGGAUUAAUUGCAGACAAGCAGCAGGAUUAUGAGGGGGUCUCCAGGGCUCUAAAAGAACACUUGGAGGCAAGCCUCUGAUCUGUCGGCCUUGGAGGAAAUUAGUGAGAGCCAGCUUUUUUUUUCUUUUUUCUUUUUUUUUUAAGACGUUUAGGAUAUUAAAGUGAAAUGUGAAGAGGAUAUUGAAAUAGGGAGAUAGCUUUGCCAGGGGGUAGGGGUGGGGGCGGUGCUGUUACCCAAAUGCAAUGUCCCCCCUCUCUCUACUGGGAAUGUGCAAAGUUUAACCCAUUUACGCAGACUCCUUAUAGAAAUGCAAAGGAAUUGGUAUAAGCCAUACAAUACAUUACAGAAGGCAGCCUGGCUUUGCCUUGGGACCUAAGUUUGUGUGAGAGGCAUGCUUCCCCUUCUAGGCCAGGUUUCAGAAUAUCCUGACAAUGAAUCUCCAGGUACAACUUUAAAACAAGUCAGGGCAGUACUGAUGCCGUAUCUACAUUAGCUAUCUAUUGUAUAUUUUACUUCUUACCCUUCUGGUUCCAGUCGGGAUGCUGCCAAUAAAUCCUGUGUUACCAUUAAAGAGGCCAUUCAUCACGCGUCCUAAUGCGAUUAAUCAAGAUACACCACAGUCCCCUUAAAAUGAGAUCAUUUUGAUAAAUCAUGUAUGACAUGAAAAGACUUUAUUCCUUUUAAGUGCAAUUUAGACUGUAAUUUUUUCCCUCAUUCAUGAUUCAUGGGAGAAACAUGGAUAAAAUUCCCUUGCACAGUUACACCUUAUCUACAGCCAUAACUCAAAACUGCUUUUAGAUGAAAAUUCAGAGUCUUAUUCACCAAAGCUGAAUGCCAGCUCAUUAUUUUCUGGCAUUCAGUAGUCCAAAAAUAAUGUCCGCGCAUUAAACAGCAUUCUCUAAAAAAGAAGG
This 1093-nucleotide long non-coding RNA is filed under the name Mus musculus (house mouse). RNAcentral's name for it is "long non-coding RNA chr14:22813520-22814613". Lineage: Eukaryota; Metazoa; Chordata; Mammalia; Rodentia; Muridae. The record is from RNAcentral.